GAAUUGACGGGACCCGCACAAGCGGUGGAUGAUGUGGUUUAAUUCGAUGCAACGCGAAAAACCUUACCCACCUUUGACAUGUACGGAAUCCUUUAGAGAUAGAGGAGUGCUCGAAAGAGAGCCGUAACACAGGUGCUGCAUGGCUGUCGUCAGCUCGUGUCGUGAGAUGUUGGGUUAAGUCCCGCAACGAGCGCAACCCUUGUCAUUAGUUGCUACGAAAGGGCACUCUAAUGAGACUGCCGGUGACAAACCGGAGGAAGGUGGGGAUGACGUCAAGUCCUCAUGGCCCUUAUAGGUGGGGCUACACACGUCAUACAAUGGCUGGUACAAAGGGUUGCCAACCCGCGAGGGGGAGCCAAUCCCAUAAAGCCAGUCGUAGUCCGGAUCGCAGUCUGCAACUCGACUGCGUGAAGUCGGAAUCGCUAGUAAUCGUGGAUCAGCAUGUCACGGUGAAUACGUUCCCGGGUCUU
This 470-nucleotide ribosomal RNA is filed under the name uncultured Comamonas sp. RNAcentral describes it as "bacterial SSU rRNA". It matches the Rfam family "Bacterial small subunit ribosomal RNA", at positions 907 to 1382 of the family's 1533-position model. The record is from RNAcentral. Lineage: Bacteria; Pseudomonadati; Pseudomonadota; Betaproteobacteria; Burkholderiales; Comamonadaceae.